UGACAACUCAUCUCAAUCUGGCUGCUCCUC
This 30-nucleotide non-coding RNA is filed under the name Homo sapiens (human). Lineage: Eukaryota; Metazoa; Chordata; Mammalia; Primates; Hominidae. The record is from RNAcentral.